Molecule: microRNA, 20 nt
Filed under: Spodoptera frugiperda (fall armyworm)
Lineage: Eukaryota; Metazoa; Arthropoda; Insecta; Lepidoptera; Noctuidae
Description: sfr-miR-10483-2-3p
Source: miRBase by way of RNAcentral
AGGGGCCGAACAAUUCCAGA